GAAUAUAGUAGCUUAAUUAGCGGUAGAUUGUAAAUCUUCUUAUGGAAUACAUCCCGUAUUCA
Molecule: transfer RNA, 62 nt
Filed under: Arion flagellus
Lineage: Eukaryota; Metazoa; Mollusca; Gastropoda; Stylommatophora; Arionidae
Description: tRNA-Tyr
Source: RNAcentral